RNAcentral lists this ribosomal RNA (468 nucleotides) under uncultured bacterium. RNAcentral describes it as "partial 16S ribosomal RNA". It matches the Rfam family "Bacterial small subunit ribosomal RNA", at positions 28 to 507 of the family's 1533-position model. The record is from RNAcentral.
GACGAACGCUGGCGGCGUGCUUAACACAUGCAAGUCGAACGGAAAGGCCCUGCUUUUGUGGGGUGCUCGAGUGGCGAACGGGUGAGUAACACGUGAGUAACCUGCCCUUGACUUUGGGAUAACUUCAGGAAACUGGGGCUAAUACCGGAUAGGAGCUCCUGCUGCAUGGUGGGGGUUGGAAAGUUUCGGCGGUUGGGGAUGGACUCGCGGCUUAUCAGCUUGUUGGUGGGGUAGUGGCUUACCAAGGCUUUGACGGGUAGCCGGCCUGAGAGGGUGACCGGCCACAAUGGGACUGAGAUACGGCCCAGAAGCCUACGGGAGGCAGCAGUGGGGAAUAUUGCACAAUGGGCGGAAGCCUGAUGCAGCAACGCCGCGUGCGGGAUGACGGCCUUCGGGUUGUAAACCGCUUUCGCAUGUGACGAAGAGUGAGUGACGGUAAUGGGUAAAGAAGCACCGGCUAACUACGUG